Molecule: ribosomal RNA, 391 nt
Filed under: uncultured bacterium
Lineage: Bacteria
Description: bacterial SSU rRNA
Rfam family: Bacterial small subunit ribosomal RNA
Source: RNAcentral
UCAGGGAUAGCCUUUCGAAAGAAAGAUUAAUACCUGAUAGUACUUUUUUCAAGGCAUCUUGAGAAAGUUAAAGAGUUUAUUGGUUAUGGAUGGGGAUGCGUUCCAUUAGAUAGUUGGUGACGGUAACGGCUCACCAAGUCUUCGGAUGGAUAGGGGGUUCUCGAGAGGAAGGUCCCCCACAUUGGUACUGAGACACGGACCAAACUCCUACGGGAGGCAGCAGUGAGGAAUAUUGGUCAAUGGGCGAGAGCCUGAACCAGCCAAGUAGCGUGAAGGAAUGAAGGUCCUAUGGAUUGUAAACUUUCUUUUAUAGUAGAAUAAAGUGAUCCACGUGUGGAUUUUUGUAUGUAUACUGUGAAUAAGGAUCGGCUAACUCCGUGCCAGCCGCGGC